This 1019-nucleotide long non-coding RNA is filed under the name Brassica napus (rape). Its description in RNAcentral is "long non-coding RNA (BNAP_LNC005701)". The record is from RNAcentral. Lineage: Eukaryota; Viridiplantae; Streptophyta; Magnoliopsida; Brassicales; Brassicaceae.
UCACAUCUUAGCAGAAUUAAAAAGAUUAGAUUGCAAAGUCGAUGCAUUGGCCAUUUGGCUAUGUUAGUUGAUUACUUGUGAUAACUUUCUACAGUGAGCUGUGUUUAUUGUUACAUUGUCUGGCAACAUAAUAUAUUAAUGCCUCUUUUCUAAUUAACAAAAUAUAGUUUCUUAUAGUGAUUUUCCAAGACCAAUCAAGAAAUCUAUUCCAGUUACUCUGUUGCUCUCUUCAAACAAACCAUUCUGCCAUGGCAAGUUCUUCUUCAUGCGGUUAAGUGGAAGAGAUAAAGUCAGCCAAAAGGGUGUGUAGAAUCUUGAAGCCACAUUAAUCAGCAAAAAAGUGGCUAUUAGUAAGGUGUAUGUCUAUUCAAGUGGUUCAUGGGUUGUAUAUUGGUAUCAGCAAGGCAAAUCUUCCUACAAUAAGGCUUUUGGUACGAUCUUAAUUGGUUAGCACACAAGUUAAAGGCGCAUAAGACCAAAUAAUGUGGUUAAGAGCAAUUGCAGAAGUCAUUACCACAAGCAGACUACAUUCUAUAUCAGGUUAAACCUUUACCACCAGACUUUUAGCGGCCUUGUUCCUCUUAACAAUAUCAUCAAGAGACAUAUUCAAAGAGUCCGCCAUCUUCAGCUAUUAAAUCUGGAAAAUACAAUCAAAAUUAACAAAUCAAACACUAAAUUCAUCGGACAGAUAUAUAAAAUUCAAGCCUCAUAUAUACAAAUCAAAAUCUGACGGAAACUCAUCUCAACGAGCUAGAUCUACAUAGUCUAGUAAUCUAAACCCAAAACAGACAUAGAUUCUCAAUCGAAAAAUGAAAACGACUUGAAUUCAGUCAGACGAAUGAACGGAUAUGAAUCAGAUGAACAAUUAGCAAAAGAAGAAUCGGAAAUUUGGGAAUUCAAAGCUCGUACAAAUCAAUCGGGGAAUUAGGGAUUUAUAGUUUUUGAGAAUUUGGGAAAAAAGCAUGUGGUUAUCGGCUCAAGGGAGAAAGAUAUUUAAAAAUUAAAAUAGGUCGUGGUCA